GAUCAACGCUGGCGGCGUGCUUAACACAUGCAAGUCGAACGAAGUUUUUCUUUCGGGAGGAACUUAGUGGCGGACGGGUGAGUAACGCGUGGGUAACCUGCCCUGUACAGGGGGACAACAGCUGGAAACGGCUGCUAAUACCGCAUAAGCCCUUAGCACUGCAUGGUGCAUAGGGAAAAGGAGCAAUCCGGUACAGGAUGGACCCGCGUCUGAUUAGCCAGUUGGCAGGGUAACGGCCUACCAAAGCGACGAUCAGUAGCCGAUCUGAGAGGAUGUACGGCCACAUUGGGACUGAGACACGGCCCAGACUCCUACGGGAGGCAGCAGUGGGGAAUAUUGCACAAUGGAGGAAACUCUGAUGCAGCGACGCCGCGUGAGUGAAGAAGUAUUUCGGUAUGUAAAGCUCCAUCAGCAGGAAAGAAAAUGACGGUACCUGACUAAGAAGCACCGGCUAAAUACGUG
Molecule: ribosomal RNA, 462 nt
Filed under: uncultured bacterium
Lineage: Bacteria
Description: partial 16S ribosomal RNA
Rfam family: Bacterial small subunit ribosomal RNA
Source: RNAcentral